UUCACGAUGGUUUUUGGGGCGGAGAUGGUGGAGACUGCGUUUGUUGUGGUGGUAGUGGUUGCUGAGAUUGAACCAGAGUUGGGUCCCAUGAAUGGAACCAGCUGGGCUGAACCAGUGGUUUGAUUAUGAUGAUGGUCUAUGUCGUUCUGGUGGGGCUCCAUUGCUUAAUAAAAUUAUAAAUUAUGCAAGAAAAUGGAAUAAACUAACAAACAAACUUGUACUGAUGUUUUACUUAUAAACCACCAAUAAACCCCGUUUUGAUCUGUGAUUUUCCUAUUUUAUGUAGGAAAAAAAAAUUCAGAAGAGGAUUCUGGGAAACUUUUUUUUUUCUUGGUGGGGCUAUGAAUUUGUGUUGACUGUUGUCUUUUGGAGAGAAGGAGGAAGAUGAUGAAACAGCCAAGUAGAAAGCGAGAGGCUUUAACUUUUUUUUUUUU
RNAcentral lists this long non-coding RNA (434 nucleotides) under Eutrema salsugineum. RNAcentral's name for it is "long non-coding RNA (ESAL_LNC000993)". Lineage: Eukaryota; Viridiplantae; Streptophyta; Magnoliopsida; Brassicales; Brassicaceae. The record is from RNAcentral.